RNAcentral lists this ribosomal RNA (774 nucleotides) under uncultured Neocallimastigales. RNAcentral describes it as "partial large subunit ribosomal RNA". It matches the Rfam family "Eukaryotic large subunit ribosomal RNA", at positions 22 to 637 of the family's 3401-position model. The record is from RNAcentral. Lineage: Eukaryota; Fungi; Neocallimastigomycota; Neocallimastigomycetes; Neocallimastigales.
GUACACGCUGUGACUAGCAUAUCAAUAAGCGGAGGAAAAGAAACUAACAAGGAUUCCCCUAGUAACGGCGAGUGAAGCGGGAAGAGCUCAAAUUUGAAAUCUUAAAGGGUUUCCCUUUACGAAUUGUAGUUUAAAGAAGUGUUUUCUGUUGAGGUUUUGGUAAAAGUUCUUUGGAAUAGGACAUCAUAGAGGGUGAGAAUCCCGUAUUUGACCUUUACUUUCAACUUUGUGAUACACUUUCAAAGAGUCGGAUUGUUUGGGAAUGCAGUCCAAAAUGGGUGGUAAAUUUCAUCUAAAGCUAAAUAUUGGCGAGAGACCGAUAGCGAACAAGUACCGUGAGGGAAAGAUGAAAAGAACUUUGAAAAGAGAGUUAAACAGUACGUGAAAUUGUCAAAAGGGAAGCGUUUGACACCAGUGUUGUUUUUCUGAAAAUCAAUUAAAGAACUGUUUAUGCUAAGUUGUUUAGACUUUAUCAGCUAACUGUUUAGUUUUGAGCUUUUCUUUAAUGCACUUUUCAGUUAACAAGUCAACAUCAAUUUCUUUUGCUGUAAAAAAGCUUGAGGAAGGUGGCUUGAGAUUCGUCUUAAGUGUUUAUAGCCUCUUGCCUAUGCAGUCGGAGAGAUUGAGGUCUGCAGCGUAGAUCCUUCGGGGCUAAAUGCAUUUGUGCUAAGUUAUAGCAUUUCAUAGACAACUUGUUGACUAUGAUUUGUCUUGUAGCUUACUCGCUUAUGUUAUUUUACCUACGCUUAGGAUGUUGACAGCAGUAUAGACUGU